AUUGAACGCUGGCGGGAGGCCUAACACAUGCAAGUCGAGCGAGCGACGGACGGGUGAGUAAUGUCUGGGAACCUGCUUGCGGGGGGGGAAUACCUACUGGCAACGGUAGCUAAUACCGCAUCCCAUCCGGUGUGCCUAGAUGGGGUUAGCUAGUGGGUGGGGUAACGGCCCACCUAGGCGACGAUCCCUAGCUGGUCUGAGAGGAUGACCAGCCACACUGGAACUGAGACACGGUCCAGACUCCUACGGGAGGCAGCAGUGGGGAAUAUUGCACAAUGGGCGCAAGCCUGAUGCAGCCAUGCCGCGUGUGUGAAGAAGGCCUUCGGGUUGUAAAGCACUUUCAGCGGGGAGGCGUUACCUGCAGAAGAAGCACCGGCUAACUCCGUGCCAGCAGCCGCGGUAAUAC
Molecule: ribosomal RNA, 406 nt
Filed under: uncultured bacterium
Lineage: Bacteria
Description: partial 16S ribosomal RNA
Rfam family: Bacterial small subunit ribosomal RNA
Source: RNAcentral